Molecule: long non-coding RNA, 158 nt
Organism: Bradysia coprophila
Lineage: Eukaryota; Metazoa; Arthropoda; Insecta; Diptera; Sciaridae
Source: RefSeq, a predicted model, not a curated record
CCAUGGAACGGAGAUCAACACGCGAUGUGGAGCGUAGUGGAGUCCGAGGACGGUUUUCACCACCGUGGUCAAAAACAACACCGUUUUGAUCCGAGGUAUGUAUACUUUAUUUCAUCCUGGAGCACCAAAGUCACAUUCCGAACAAAAGAUAACAACAA